AUACGAAGGGUGCUAGCGUUGUUCGGAAUUACUGGGCGUAAAGCGUACGUAGGCGGAUUAUUAAGUCAGAUGUGAAAUCCCGAGGCUCAACCUCGGAACUGCAUUUGAAACUGGUAGCCAAGAGAUCAGGAGAGGUUAGUGGAAUGCCGAGUGUAGAGGUGAAAUUCGUAGAUAUUCGGUGGAACACCAGUGGCGAAGGCGACUAACUGGACUGAUACUGACGCUGAGGUACGAAAGUGUGGGGAGCAAACAGGAUUAGAAACCCUAGUAGUCC
RNAcentral lists this ribosomal RNA (274 nucleotides) under uncultured bacterium. Its description in RNAcentral is "partial 16S ribosomal RNA". It matches the Rfam family "Bacterial small subunit ribosomal RNA", at positions 523 to 796 of the family's 1533-position model. The record is from RNAcentral.